GGGUUGUGAGGUUAAGCGACUAAGCGUACACGGUGGAUGCCCUGGCAGUCAGAGGCGAUGAAGGGCGUGCUAAUCUGCGAUAAGCGCCGGUAAGGUGAUAUGAACCGUUAUAACCGGCGAUACCCGAAUGGGGAAACCCAGUGUGAUUCGUCACACUAUCAUUAACUGAAUCCAUAGGUUAAUGAGGCGAACCGGGGGAACUGAAACAUCUAAGUACCCCGAGGAAAAGAAAUCAACCGAGAUUCCCCCAGUAGCGGCGAGCGAACGGGGAGGAGCCCAGAGCCUGAAUCAGCAUGUGUGUUAGUGGAAGCGUCUGGAAAGGCGCGCGAUACAGGGUGACAGCCCCGUACACAAAAGCGCAUGUGCUGUGAGCUCGAUGAGUAGGGCGGGACACGUGGUAUCCUGUCUGAAUAUGGGGGGACCAUCCUCCAAGGCUAAAUACUCCUGACUGACCGAUAGUGAACCAGUACCGUGAGGGAAAGGCGAAAAGAACCCCGGCGAGGGGAGUGAAAAAGAACCUGAAACCGUGUACGUACAAGCAGUGGGAGCACAGGUUUACCUGUGUGACUGCGUACCUUUUGUAUAAUGGGUCAGCGACUUAUAUUCUGUAGCAAGGUUAACCGUAUAGGGGAGCCGGAGGGAAACC
This 646-nucleotide ribosomal RNA is filed under the name Salmonella enterica subsp. enterica serovar Stanley. RNAcentral's name for it is "partial 23S ribosomal RNA". It matches the Rfam family "Bacterial large subunit ribosomal RNA", at positions 1 to 678 of the family's 2925-position model. The record is from RNAcentral. Lineage: Bacteria; Pseudomonadati; Pseudomonadota; Gammaproteobacteria; Enterobacterales; Enterobacteriaceae.